UUAAAAAAGGGAACUCGGCAAUCACAGACCCCGACUGUUUAACAAAAACAUAACCUUUAGUCAAUAAACCAAUAUUAAAGGCAACGCCUGCCCAGUGAACAAUUUAACGGCCGCGGUACCCUAACCGUGCAAAGGUAGCACAAUCACUUGUCUAUUAAUUGUAGACCUGUAUGAAAGGCAAAACGAGGGCCUAUCUGUCUCUUGUAGUAAAUCAAUUAAACUGAUCUCCCAGUCCAAAAGCUGGGAUGCCAACAUAAGACCAGAAGACCCUGUGAAGCUUAAACUAAACUAUUAAAUCCUAUAAUAGCUCCUUUCGGUUGGGGCGACCCUGGAAAAAAAAAGAACUUCCAAACAUACUGACCUUACAGUCACCUACCCUAGGCCAACAAGCCUAACAACGACCCAGCACAGCUGAUAAUAACCAAGUCUCCGGG
This 434-nucleotide ribosomal RNA is filed under the name Naja atra (Chinese cobra). RNAcentral describes it as "partial 16S ribosomal RNA". It matches the Rfam family "Bacterial large subunit ribosomal RNA", at positions 1760 to 2431 of the family's 2925-position model. Lineage: Eukaryota; Metazoa; Chordata; Lepidosauria; Squamata; Elapidae. The record is from RNAcentral.